This 253-nucleotide ribosomal RNA is filed under the name uncultured bacterium. RNAcentral's name for it is "partial 16S ribosomal RNA". It matches the Rfam family "Bacterial small subunit ribosomal RNA", at positions 524 to 776 of the family's 1533-position model. The record is from RNAcentral.
GACGGAGGAUGCAGGCGUUAUCCGGAAUGAUUGGGCGUAAAGCGUCCGCAGGUGGCAGUUCAAGUCUGCUGUCAAAGACCGGGGCUUAACUUCGGAAAGGCAGUGGAAACUGAACAGCUAGAGUAUGGUAGGGGCAGAGGGAAUUCCUGGUGUAGCGGUGAAAUGCGUAGAGAUCAGGAAGAACAUCGGUGGCGAAGGCGCUCUGCUGGACCAUAACUGACACUCAGGGACGAAAGCUAGGGGAGCGAAUGGG